CCUACGGGAGGCAGCAGUAGGGAAUAUUGCGCAAUGGGGGAAACUCUGAAGCAGUAACGCCGCGUGGAGGAUGAAGGUUUUCGGAUUGUAAACUCCUUUUGUUAGAGAAGAUAAUGACGGUAUCUAACGAAUAAGCACCGGCUAACGCCGUGCCAGCAGCCGCGGUAAUACGGAGGGUGCAAGCGUUACUCGGAAUCACUGGGCGUAAAGAGCGCGUAGGCGGGAUAGCAAGUCAGAUGUGAAAUCCUAUGGCUUAACCAUAGAACUGCAUUUAAAACUGUUAUUCUAGAGUAUUGGAGAGGAAGGUGGAAUUCUUGGUGUAGGGGUAAAAUCCGUAGAGAUCAAGAGGAAUACUCAUUGCGAAGGCGACCUUCUAGACCAUAACUGACGCUGAUGCACGAAAGCGUGGGGAGCAAACAGGAUUAGAUACCCUAGUAGUC
Molecule: ribosomal RNA, 440 nt
Filed under: uncultured bacterium
Lineage: Bacteria
Description: partial 16S ribosomal RNA
Rfam family: Bacterial small subunit ribosomal RNA
Source: RNAcentral